RNAcentral lists this ribosomal RNA (450 nucleotides) under uncultured prokaryote. Its description in RNAcentral is "bacterial SSU rRNA". It matches the Rfam family "Bacterial small subunit ribosomal RNA", at positions 355 to 796 of the family's 1533-position model. The record is from RNAcentral.
UAGGGAAUAUUGGACAAUGGGCGAAAGCCUGAUCCAGCCACGCCGCGUGAGUGAUGAAGGCCUUCGGGUUGUAAAGCUCUGUGGGGAGGGACGAAAAAAGCGCUCAAGACAACGGGGCGCUCUUGACGGUACCUCCUUAGCAAGCACCGGCUAACUCUGUGCCAGCAGCCGCGGUAAUACAGAGGGUGCAAACGUUGCUCGGAAUCACUGGGCGUAAAGCGCGUGUAGGCUGAUAAUCAAGUCAGGUGUGAAAUCCCUGGGCUCAACCUAGGAACUGCACCUGAAACUGGUUGUCUAGAGUGUCGGAGAGGGAAGCGGAAUUCCUGGUGUAGAGGUGAAAUUCGUAGAUAUCAGGAGGAACACCGGUGGCGAAGGCGGCUUCCUGGACGAUUACUGACGCUGAGACGCGAAAGCGUGGGGAGCAAACAGGAUUAGAUACCCCUGUAGUCC